CCUACGGGCGGCAGCAGUGGGGAAUAUUGCGCAAUGGGCGAAAGCCUGACGCAGCGACGCCGCGUGAGGGAUGAAGGUCUUCGGAUCGUAAACCUCUGUCAGCAGGGAAGAACGGUCACUGUGCUAAUCAGCAGUGCAUUGACGGUACCUGCAAAGGCAGCACCGGCUAACCCCGUGCCAGCAGCCGCGGUAAUACGGAGGGUGCGAGUGUUAAUCGGAAUUACUGGGCGUAAAGCGCUCGUAGGCGGUAUGUCAAGUCAAGGGUGAAAUCCCCGCGCUCAACGUGGGUACUGCCUUUGAAACUGGCAAACUGGAGUGUGUGAGAGGAUAGGGGAAUUCCAGGUGUAGGAGUGAAAUCCGUAGAUAUCUGGAGGAACAUCAGUGGCGAAGGCGACUAUCUGGCACAUAACUGACGCUGAGGAGCGAAAGCGUGGGUAGCAAACAGGAUUAGAUACCCGGGUAGUC
This 465-nucleotide ribosomal RNA is filed under the name uncultured bacterium. RNAcentral describes it as "partial 16S ribosomal RNA". It matches the Rfam family "Bacterial small subunit ribosomal RNA", at positions 338 to 795 of the family's 1533-position model. The record is from RNAcentral.